CCCUUAGAUGUCCGGGGCUGCACGCGCGCUACACUGUAGAAAGCAGCGUGCUUUAAAACCUUUCCUGAAAAGGAUGGGUAACCCCAGCAAAAUUCUACGUGCUUGGGAUAGAGAUUUGCAAUUUUCUCUCUUGAACGAGGAAUUCCCAGUAAGUGCGAGUCAUCAGCUCGCGUUGAUUACGUCCCUGCCCUUUGUACACACCGCCCGUCGCUCCUACUGAUUGGGUGAUCCGGUGAGCUGUUCGGCCAUAGCAAUGUUUCUUGAGCAGGGCAAUGAAUGUUUCGCAAACCUUGCCACUUAGAGGAAGGAGAAGUCGUAACA
Molecule: ribosomal RNA, 321 nt
Filed under: uncultured eukaryote
Lineage: Eukaryota
Description: partial 18S ribosomal RNA
Rfam family: Eukaryotic small subunit ribosomal RNA
Source: RNAcentral